This 253-nucleotide ribosomal RNA is filed under the name uncultured bacterium. Its description in RNAcentral is "partial 16S ribosomal RNA". It matches the Rfam family "Bacterial small subunit ribosomal RNA", at positions 524 to 776 of the family's 1533-position model. The record is from RNAcentral.
UACAGAGGGUGCAAGCGUUGUUCGGAUUCAUUGGGCGUAAAGGGUGCGUAGGCGGCGCGGUAAGUCGGGUGUGAAAUCUCGGAGCUUAACUCCGAAACUGCAUUCGAUACUGCCGUGCUUGAGGACUGGAGAGGAGACUGGAAUUUACGGUGUAGCGGUGAAAUGCGUAGAUAUCGUAAGGAAGACCAGUGGCGAAGGCGGGUCUCUGGACAGUUCCUGACGCUGAGGCACGAAGGUCAGGGGAGCAAACGGG